CAACGACUCUCGACAACGGAUAUCUCGGCUCUCGCAUCGAUGAAGAACGUAGCGAAAUGCGAUACUUGGUGUGAAUUGCAGAAUCCCGUGAACCAUCGAGUCUUUGAACGCAAGUUGCGCCCGAAGCCAUUAGGUUGAGGGCACGUCUGCCUGGGUGUCACGC
Molecule: ribosomal RNA, 163 nt
Filed under: Kitagawia praeruptora
Lineage: Eukaryota; Viridiplantae; Streptophyta; Magnoliopsida; Apiales; Apiaceae
Description: Peucedanum praeruptorum 5.8S ribosomal RNA
Rfam family: 5.8S ribosomal RNA
About the family: 5.8S ribosomal RNA (5.8S rRNA) is a component of the large subunit of the eukaryotic ribosome. It is transcribed by RNA polymerase I as part of the 45S precursor that also contains 18S and 28S rRNA.
Source: RNAcentral